RNAcentral lists this ribosomal RNA (261 nucleotides) under uncultured bacterium. RNAcentral describes it as "partial small subunit ribosomal RNA". It matches the Rfam family "Bacterial small subunit ribosomal RNA", at positions 26 to 285 of the family's 1533-position model. The record is from RNAcentral.
AGGACGAACGCUGGCGGCGUGCUUAACACAUGCAAGUCGAGCGAGGCCCCUUCCUUCGGGAGGGGAGCCCUAGCGGCGAACGGGUGAGUAACACGUGGGCAACCUGCCCCUAGCUCUGGGAUAACUCCGGGAAACCGGUGCUAAUACCGGAUAUGACCUCAUUUGGCAUCCUCUGAGGUGGAAAGAUUUAUUGGCUAGGGAUGGGCCCGCGGCCUAUCAGCUUGUUGGUGGGGUAAUGGCCUACCAAGGCGACGACGGGUA